This 496-nucleotide ribosomal RNA is filed under the name uncultured bacterium. Its description in RNAcentral is "partial 16S ribosomal RNA". It matches the Rfam family "Bacterial small subunit ribosomal RNA", at positions 29 to 507 of the family's 1533-position model. The record is from RNAcentral.
AUGAACGCUGGCGGCGUGCCUAAUCCCUGCAAGUCGAGCGAACAGACGAGGAGCUUGCUCCUCUAACGUUAGCAGCGGACGGGUGAGUAACACGUGGAUAACCUACCUAUAAGACUGGGAUAACUUCGGGAAACCGGAGCUAAUACCGGAUAAUAUAUUGAACCGCAUGGUUCAAUAGUGAAAGACGGUUUUGCUGUCACUUAUAGAUGGAUCCGCGCCGCAUUAGCUAGUUGGUAAGGUAACAGCUUACCAAGGCAACGAUGCGUAGCCGACCUGAGAGGGUGAUCGGCCACACUGGAACUGAGACACGGUCCAGACUCCUACGGGAGGCAGCAGUAGGGAAUCUUCCGCAAUGGGCGAAAGCCUGACGGAGCAACGCCGCGUGAGUGAUGAAGGUCUUCGGAUCGUAAAACUCUGUUAUUAGGGAAGAACAAAUGUGUAAGUAACUAUGCACGUCUUGACGGUACCUAAUCAGAAAGCCACGGCUAACUACGUG